This 145-nucleotide non-coding RNA is filed under the name Oleiagrimonas soli. RNAcentral's name for it is "FMN riboswitch aptamer (RFN element)". It matches the Rfam family "FMN riboswitch aptamer (RFN element)". Rfam says of the family: The RFN element is a highly conserved domain that is found frequently in the 5'-untranslated regions of prokaryotic mRNAs that encode for flavin mononucleotide (FMN) biosynthesis and transport proteins. This element is a metabolite-dependent riboswitch that directly binds FMN in the absence of proteins. In Bacillus subtilis, the riboswitch most likely controls gene expression by causing premature transcription termination within the 5' untranslated region of the ribDEAHT operon and precluding access to the ribosome-binding site of ypaA mRNA. RNAcentral also lists the same sequence under 1 other name. Lineage: Bacteria; Pseudomonadati; Pseudomonadota; Gammaproteobacteria; Lysobacterales; Rhodanobacteraceae. The record is from Rfam by way of RNAcentral.
GAACGUCUUCAGGGCGGGGUGGAAGUCCCCACCGGCGGUAGGUGCCACGGCACGAGCCCGCGAGCGCUCACGAGGUUUCGUGAGGUCAGCAGAUCCGGUCCAAGUCCGGAGCCGACGGUUACAGUCCGGAUGAAAGAAGACGGCC